Molecule: ribosomal RNA, 452 nt
Filed under: uncultured bacterium
Lineage: Bacteria
Description: bacterial SSU rRNA
Rfam family: Bacterial small subunit ribosomal RNA
Source: RNAcentral
AGUGAACGCUGGCGGCGUGCCUAACACAUGCAAGUCGAACGAUGAUUGGAGAGCUUGCUCUUCAUGAUUAGUGGCGCACGGGUGAGUAACGCAUAGGUAAUGUGCCCCUUAGUCUGGGAUAGCCACUGGAAACGGUGAUUAAUACUAGAUACUCCUUCUCAUUAUAAGAUGAGUCGGGAAAGUUUUUCGCUAAGGGAUCAGCCUAUGUCCUAUCAGCUAGUUGGUGAGGUAACGGCUCACCAAGGCAAUGACGGGUAUCUGGUUUGAGAGGAUGAUCAGACACACUGGAACUGAGACACGGUCCAGACUCCUACGGGAGGCAGCAGUGAGGAAUAUUGCACAAUGGAGGAAACUCUGAUGCAGCAACGCCGCGUGGAGGAUGACGCAUUUCGGUGUGUAAACUCCUUUUAAGAGGGAAGAUUAUGACGGUACCUCUUGAAUAAGCACCGGCU